Molecule: ribosomal RNA, 253 nt
Filed under: uncultured bacterium
Lineage: Bacteria
Description: partial 16S ribosomal RNA
Rfam family: Bacterial small subunit ribosomal RNA
Source: RNAcentral
UACGGAGGCGGCUAGCGUUGUUCGGAAUUACUGGGCGUAAAGCGCACGUAGGCGGAUCAGUCAGUCAGGGGUGAAAUCCCGGGGCUCAACCCCGGAACUGCCUUUGAUACUGCUGGUCUGGAGGUCGAGAGAGGUGAGUGGAAUUCCGAGUGUAGAGGUGAAAUUCGUAGAUAUUCGGAGGAACACCAGUGGCGAAGGCGGCUCACUGGCUCGAUUCUGACGCUGAGGUGCGAAAGCGUGGGGAGCAAACAGG